RNAcentral lists this ribosomal RNA (800 nucleotides) under uncultured bacterium. RNAcentral describes it as "bacterial SSU rRNA". It matches the Rfam family "Bacterial small subunit ribosomal RNA", at positions 8 to 799 of the family's 1533-position model. The record is from RNAcentral.
AGAGUUUGAUCCUGGCUCAGGAUGAACGCUAGCGGCAGGCUUAAUACAUGCAAGUCGAGGGGCAGCACGGUAUAGCAAUAUAUGGGUGGCGACCGGCAAACGGGUGCGGAACACGUACACAACCUUCCGGUGAGAGGGGGAUAGCCCAGAGAAAUUUGGAUUAAUACCCCAUACUAUAAUGGUCAGGCAUCUGAUUAUUAUCAAAGGCUUCGGCCGCUUAUUGAUGGGUGUGCGUCUGAUUAGGUAGUUGGCGGGGUAGAGGCCCACCAAGUCUACGAUCAGUAGCUGAUGUGAGAGCAUGAUCAGCCACACGGACAUUGAGACACGGGCCCGACUCCUACGGGAGGCAGCAGUAAGGAAUAUUGGACAAUGGACGCAAGUCUGAUCCAGCCAUGCCGCGUGAAGGAUGAAUGCCCUCUGGGUUGUAAACUUCUUUUACAGGGGUAGAAAGUUAUCUUUUUCAGGAUAUUUGACGGUACCCUAUGAAUAAGCACCGGCUAACUCCGUGCCAGCAGCCGCGGUAAUACGGAGGGUGCAAGCGUUAUCCGGAUUCACUGGGUUUAAAGGGUGCGUAGGCGGGUAUGUAAGUCAGUGGUGAAAUACCGGAGCUUAACUUCGGAACUGCCAUUGAUACUAUAUAUCUUGAAUAUUGUGGAGGUAAGCGGAAUAUGUCAUGUAGCGGUGAAAUGCUUAGAGAUGACAUAGAACACCGAUUGCGAAGGCAGCUUGCUACGCAAAUAUUGACGCUGAGGCACGAAAGCGUGGGGAUCAAACAGGAUUAGAUACCCUGGUAGUCCACG